Molecule: long non-coding RNA, 1138 nt
Filed under: Marmota monax (woodchuck)
Lineage: Eukaryota; Metazoa; Chordata; Mammalia; Rodentia; Sciuridae
Source: RNAcentral
GGGUGCCCCUGAAACUUUGUGCCUUCCUCAGCGUCUGUUUCAUCUUCACGAAUUGUAAGUAAUGUACGUAAGAAGGCAGUAAAAGCAAAAACAAACAAACGAAAACUCUCAAAAUGAUCUCCUUUUCCCCCCUGAGGACUUUCUGUGGGCUCUUUCAAAGUUCGAGUAGGCUCCACUUCCGGGACUUUCCUUAUCUAAUACAGCUUCCGUUCAGAGGUGAACGUGGGAGACAGGAAGAGGAUAAUUUUGGCCUCAACUAAAGCUCUGAGAGACUGAGAACAGGAAGUUGUAGCGGAAGCUGGAAGGGGAAAAUCCAAGCGAGACUACCCAAGGAAUUUCUUUUUGUAACAUUGGCGGGAGAUUGGUGUGACUGGGAAGUCCAGGGAGCUUUGGCUGGAAGGAAGUGGAGGCACAGGGCUGGCAGGAAGAGCCUGCCCUCAACUUUCACAAAGCCUGGCUACCUGGCCCCCCCAGGACCCCCUCCUCGUGACUCUACGCCUGGUCCUUGCUGUUCUAUCCUCACUUCUCUUUUGCUUGCUCUGCUUCGUCUCCCUCUUCCCAAUAGAUAUUCUGCAGACUUCCAUGCCCUGAUCAGGAAUGACCGCGGUAAUUAAAGCUCCAUGAGGACACAGGCUUUGCCUUGUAAACAGCCGAACCUCCUCAGUGCCAGGCACAUUACCAGAUAUUAACAAGUUUUUAUUGAGUGAAUGAGUGGCCUCUUAAUACCACAUCCUUCCCCUCAUCCAGGAUACAAGUCUUGGGUAUGUAAAACUUUGACUUGUCCAUGAAUCCCAUACUCAAAAAAAGAGUAUUGCCUGGAUAAUGUUUGCUCCAUUUCCAUGGCUCCUCUUCUCCCACAGAAGCCAUACAUUAAGAUCAGAUCGCUCAGCUCCAUAUAUAACUUCACCCAAACCUGUCUUUCACAAUAAUGGGGUCAAGUAUGUUUUCUUUCAUUACUGUGAGUGUGGUGAUAGAACAACAGAGUCUCUGGGCAGUUACCCCUCUAGCCUAUCCAUUGUGUAUAACACCAGGAAGUGCAUAUAGACAAACUAAUCAAUAAUAAGAAAAGCUGAGGACAAAAAUAAACUUUUUUUUUUUUCCUUGAGAUUUGAAGAACUGAAAAACAUCUUGUGACUAG